This is a long non-coding RNA of Saccostrea echinata, 387 nucleotides long. RefSeq lists it as uncharacterized. The record is from RefSeq and is a predicted model, not a curated record. The transcript has 4 exons. Lineage: Eukaryota; Metazoa; Mollusca; Bivalvia; Ostreida; Ostreidae.
UACAAAGCCGAAGGGUUCUCCGACGUACGAUGGAUGAAUUGAGUGUCAUAAAAGCUUGGAUGCGAGCAUCCAGGAGGAGAAUUUCGAUCGAAGUACAGAUUUUUCUUGAAUUCGAGAACAAUGAUGUUAAUACCAGCUGAUAAAAGAGGAAUAGUGUAAGUGCCCGAUGGGUACGAACGUCAUCUUGUGACUGCAUCACCUUUGUUUGGCUAAAGUACAAGAGAACUGCAGCACCAAAGACUACAUGUACAUCGAUUUGAAUAAUCUGUAUCCUCAAAAGGCAAAUCAAAUACAGAAAAUGCAUAUAAUUUGGAAAAGAGACCACCAAUCCACUGAGGGGUAUCACAUGAAAGCAAUGGUAUUACAGAAUAUUGUAAAGCUGGACGA